This 72-nucleotide transfer RNA is filed under the name Camelus bactrianus (Bactrian camel). It matches the Rfam family "tRNA". Rfam says of the family: Transfer RNA (tRNA) molecules are approximately 80 nucleotides in length. Their secondary structure includes four short double-helical elements and three loops (D, anti-codon, and T loops). Lineage: Eukaryota; Metazoa; Chordata; Mammalia; Artiodactyla; Camelidae. RNAcentral also lists the same sequence under 1 other name. The record is from Rfam by way of RNAcentral.
GAAGGAAUAGCUCAGUGGUAGAGCGCGUUCGUAGUGUACACAAGAUCCUGGGUUCAAUCCCCAGUACCUGUA